CAUGCAAGUCGAACGGCAGCACGGGUGCUUGCACCUGGUGGCGAGUGGCGAACGGGUGAGUAAUACAUCGGAACGUACCUUAUCGUGGGGGAUAACGCAGCGAAAGCUGUGCUAAUACCGCAUAUGCCCUGAGGGGGAAAGCGGGGGAUCGCAAGACCUCGCGCGAUUAGAGCGGCCGAUGCCUGAUUAGCUUGUUGGUGGGGUAAAAGCCCACCAAGGCGACGAUCAGUAGCUGGUCUGAGAGGACGAUCAGCCACACUGGGACUGAGACACGGCCCAGACUCCUACGGGAGGCAGCAGUGGGGAAUUUUGGACAAUGGGGGCAACCCUGAUCCAGCAAUGCCGCGUGAGUGAAGAAGGCCUUCGGGUUGUAAAGCUCUUUUGUCAGGGAAGAAACACCGGCUCUAACACAGUCCGGGAAUGACGGUACCUGAAGAAUAAGCACCGGCUAACUACGUGCCAGCAGCCGCGGUAAUACGUAGGGUGCGAGCGUUAAUCGGAAUUACUGGGCGUAAAGCGUGCGCAGGCGGUUAUACAAGACAGGCGUGAAAUCCCCGGGCUUAACCUGGGAAUGGCGCCUGUGACUGUAUAGCUAGAGUGUGUCAGAGGGGGGUAGAAUUCCACGUGUAGCAGUGAAAUGCGUAGAUAUGUGGAGGAAUACCAAUGGCGAAGGCAGCCCCCUGGGAUAACACUGACGCUCAUGCACGAAAGCGAGGGGAGCAAACAGGAUUAGAUACCCUGGUAGUCCACGCCCUAAACGAUGCUGACUAGUUGUUCGGGAUUUACAUCCUGAGUAACGUAGCUAACGCGUGAAGUCAGCCGCCUGGGGAGUACGGUCGCAAGAUUAAAACUCAAAGGAAUUGACGGGGACCCGCACAAGCGGUGGAUGAUGUGGAUUAAUUCGAUGCAACGCGAAAACCUUACCUACCCUUGACAUGUCACUAACGAAGUAGAGAUACAUUAGUGCUC
Molecule: ribosomal RNA, 969 nt
Filed under: uncultured bacterium
Lineage: Bacteria
Description: bacterial SSU rRNA
Rfam family: Bacterial small subunit ribosomal RNA
Source: RNAcentral